UGUGAGUAAUGUCUCCAUUUUACAGAGAGGCAACAAAAGCUGAAAGAGACACAGCAGCUUGCCGAGGGCCACACAGCUUCUAGACAGCAGGACCAGCCUUCAAAGUCCGGUACCCAAAGAGGUGCAGGCACUGAGAGAUUUACAAGAAAAGAUCAAUGGAGAAGUAACCAUUCAGUUGACUACAGGAUUCUCUGAGCUGCAAAAUGACCCACCAGGUUUCUUUAAGUUGCAAGCCCCUGCUGGUCUCUCUCCUUCAGGCUGAUUUAAACUAAGGCCGAACUCACGAUAUGAUGGCAGGUGCUGGAGCAGCUAUCUUGGACCGUGUGAUAAAAGUUACUGAUUGAGAAUGGCAGAGCAAUAAGACGGAUGGAAUCUGGGGCUUCAAAACCAUGAAACUGCCAUGUUAGCCCUGGACUGCUUAAGUUAUUAUUGUCACAUGGAGGAGAAAUAAACUUCCAGUGGGUUUAAGCCAUUGUUAUUUUGAUCUUUAGUUACAGCAACUGAACUGCUUCACUUUGCAUAGCUACUUCUAACCAUCCUUCAAAAGCUACCUGAGGGCCACUUCUCCCAGGAAGCAUCCCUUGAUUGUACCAACGAUAGCCUGCCUCACGUACCACAUUACCCAUCCCAGAGCAUGUUGCCUCAACCAAAUCUUGAUGCGCCGAAUUCUAUUUUAUUUAAUGUUAUCACUCCAAUAUAGGGCAUGGCACACAUCAGGAGGCAUGGAAAGACGGUGAUUGAGUUGGGUUGUGACUGUCCUUUGUUCAUGGUUGGUUUGAUGUCCCUUUCACAGCAUAGUACCUUCCAG
RNAcentral lists this long non-coding RNA (808 nucleotides) under Equus caballus (horse). RNAcentral describes it as "lncRNA (ENSECAG00000031193.3)". Lineage: Eukaryota; Metazoa; Chordata; Mammalia; Perissodactyla; Equidae. The record is from RNAcentral.